Molecule: long non-coding RNA, 562 nt
Filed under: Olea europaea subsp. europaea
Lineage: Eukaryota; Viridiplantae; Streptophyta; Magnoliopsida; Lamiales; Oleaceae
Source: RNAcentral
AUCUGCGAGGACUUUGCAGCUAAUAAAAUCAAGCACAGAAACUGAAUUAAUCAAACAGAGGACGUUGAAUUAGAUUUCCGACAGGCAAUGACUUCAAUGGUAGAAGAAGAUGAAAAACCAAAGCACUACUACAUAAAAACCUGUACAAAUACGCGAUUUGAUUUUGAACUUACGAGGACUUUAACUCGGAGAGACAGCAAGAGAAUGGCAUCGGAAAAUCCGUUAGAGCGAUCUGAUACAAGCUUGACACAGGCCGUGAACGAGGAGGAGGAAAUCCACGCGCCGCUGCGUAGGCGCUGCUUUUGGACGGCGGCCAGGGGCGAGAGAGAAGAAUGAGUACAGCUGAAAUUGGAGGAGCUGUAGUUGAUGAAGCGUGCAUAUUGGAUUUGCCAUUGAUCUAUGACUGGGGAGAUUUGUGAGUGCGAAUGCCUAGGGUUUUCCAUUUCCAAGUGAUUAGUUGGUAUUGUAACCACUGAUCCCGCCAUUUUUGGAGUUUUUGAAAUGGAAAGUUUUUCUUUGGGGUUUUUAUAGUUACAGAGAGGGACGGGAAUGCUGAUUUUUG